GGAUGUGAGGGCGAUCUGGCUGCGACAUCUGUCACCCCAUUGAUUGCCAGGGUUAAUUCUGCUGAUCUGUCUGGCUAGGAGGGUGUCCCCCUCCUCCCUCACUGAUGUCUGUGCGUCCCUACGAAGCUGUGUGCUGGGUCAAAGAGGACGACCUUCCCACCAAAGGAGAGGACCGGUCUUCGGUCAAGGGUAUAGGAGUAGCUGAGCUCCCCUGCUAGAACCUCCAAACCAACCCACUACUUAAACCAGCCUUUUGUAUUCUAGGCUUGUGUACCUUGCCCUCAGAGAGGACUAUGAUGGAAGACAUUAUCAAGAGGAACAAACACAGAAUUGACCUGUAAGAAUGUGUUUUUUAAUCUUU
Myotis davidii is the source of this 361-nucleotide non-coding RNA. NCBI's taxonomy places the organism in Eukaryota, Metazoa, Chordata, Mammalia, Chiroptera, Vespertilionidae. The record is from Rfam.